GGGAUCGACACUAACGGUAGACCGGAGGACCGAGGCCCCUAAAAAACAAUGUCGGUCUUCUCGAUCCUAUUUUUUGGAGGACCGACGGUCCUCUUAAUCUCAGAACCAUUUGUUAUCCCGCGGAUCACAAAAUCCACCAAAAAAACCUGAAAUCGUGUGCGAAAUGUUCAUGCUGAGUUUAUUUCUUGACCACGACCGUCGUCGGUAGAACGAUGACCUAAACAAUCCUGUAGGAAGUAUUUCCGGUUGAAGUCAGGUGCGUAUUAUCAUUGCUGAUAACUGUUUAAAGUCUGAAUCAUUUGUACGUUUGUAAUAAGGGCCCGUGUAAGUCAGUACGCUUCAAGCGUUUGAAUAACAGUCUGUAUCAUUUGUACGUUUGUAAUAAGGGCCCGUGCAAAUCAAAAUCGGAGACCCCAAGGGAAUGUUCAGUUUUUCAGCGGACAGAUGGGCAUGAGGUCAUCCCAGUUUCCCUUGAUUUGCAUGAGGACCAAGCUGAGCAUGAGGGGGAGGAAGAGGUAGAUGAGGAAGAUCUUCAGGAAGGGGCAACAUUCACGCCAGAUUCCCAGUCUGAUGAUGAGGAUGAGGAUCUCUCCAGGAGAGACCUUCUUGCUCUCCAGCAAAAGUCAUACAGACUUUUCAUUGAAAACUUAAGAAACUAGUUGAAUAUGGAAUAACAAAUACAAAAACUGAAAUGAG
Molecule: long non-coding RNA, 696 nt
Organism: Pecten maximus
Lineage: Eukaryota; Metazoa; Mollusca; Bivalvia; Pectinida; Pectinidae
Exons: 2
Source: RefSeq, a predicted model, not a curated record